This 400-nucleotide ribosomal RNA is filed under the name phytoplankton environmental sample. RNAcentral's name for it is "partial small subunit ribosomal RNA". It matches the Rfam family "Eukaryotic small subunit ribosomal RNA", at positions 587 to 991 of the family's 1831-position model. The record is from RNAcentral.
AGCUCCAAUAGCGUAUAUUAAAGUUGUUGCAGUUAAAAAGCUCGUAGUUGGAUUUGUGGCCGUCGCGUGCGGCGUGACACUUAGUGUUAUCGCUUGCUUGCGUCGCCAUCCUUGGGUGGAACCUGUGUGGCAUUAGGUUGUCGUGCAGGGGAUGCCCAUCAUUUACUGUGAAAAAAUUAGAGUGUUCAAAGCAGGCUUAUGCCGUUGAAUAUAUUAGCAUGGAAUAAUAAGAUAGGACCUUGGUACUAUUUUGUUGGUUUGCGCACCGAGGUAAUGAUUAAUAGGGACAGUUGGGGGUAUUCGUAUUCCAUUGUCAGAGGUGAAAUUCUUGGAUUUUUGGAAGACGAACUACUGCGAAAGCAUUUACCAAGGAUGUUUUCAUUAAUCAAGAACGAAAGUA